CUACAAUGAUAAUAAUUUUAAGUCUUGAUUAACAAAAUUACUAUAAGUCUCUUCAUAAAGAAUAGUUCUUGCCUAAAUUGAAAUGGUUUAUUUUUCUUCACAGGAUAAAAUGAAGGUUGUAAAACUUAAAUGAAUAUUAAAGAAGGUAAAAAGUUUGUGGGAGUGCUGACUGAAAUUUAAUAAAUUUGUUCAAAAAAGUGUGUUUUGUCCUAAAAUAAAAUGGCUGCUUUUCAUAAAAUCAGAAUGAACAUAUGCAGGACGGGACUUGAAUGCAUGUGUUUCAGGUAUUGGCCCUUGGAUUCAUCACACUAGAGCUAAAAGGGCACAGUCCAACAAGAAACAAAACAACUAGACAACUCACCCCAUACCUGACUGUCCCUUGAAAGUCCAAAUUGCCCGGAGCCACCGAGAAUCACCAUCACCUGACUAGAUGGGCUCCUAUUUCCUUUGGUUCCUACUCCUCUUUGGACCACUCCGCUUGCUGUUUGGGACUGGACUGGCAGCUACAGCUCCCAGAGACUGAAGUGUAGCUGAAAGGAUACUAAUCUUAAUAGUGUACUGUGUCAUGUAGCAUGCUUUACUGCCUUAAGUUGUUUUUCCACUUAGCAUAAGUGAUGCCCUAUAAAAAGUGUAUGAGGCGGCAUCAGAGGGGGGAUUGUUGAGGAAUAAAAAGCAUAACCUUGCAAAAUAUCUAAAAAGUCACUCCUGCCCCCACUUCUGUGGAUCGGCCUGUGAGGGCGUGGCCUUGCAGGAGAAUAUCAAAUAAAUAACUCCUGCCCUGUUUCUGUAAAUCAGCCUGUGAAAACAUGGCCUAGUAGAAAGAUAUCAAACGAGUGACUUCAACCCCCUCCCUCCUGCUUCUGUAAAUCAGCCCGCAACCUUGCACCUGCAUUCUGCCUCUGUAAUCUCCCUGCUUGUAAAAUUUCACCUAGCAACGUGUUAGCCAAUGAACAAAAGCUAUGCUGGUCCCACCUGAAAUCCUAUAUAAACCUAUGAAAACUGAAAAACGGGGCUCAAAAUUUGGAGAUUGACUUUCUCUGGACCCACACAUAAUAAAACUGUUCAUUCACCUU
This 1073-nucleotide long non-coding RNA is filed under the name Dasypus novemcinctus (nine-banded armadillo). RNAcentral describes it as "lncRNA (ENSDNOG00000052866.1)". Lineage: Eukaryota; Metazoa; Chordata; Mammalia; Cingulata; Dasypodidae. The record is from RNAcentral.